This 401-nucleotide ribosomal RNA is filed under the name Caryophanales bacterium. Its description in RNAcentral is "bacterial SSU rRNA". It matches the Rfam family "Bacterial small subunit ribosomal RNA", at positions 1072 to 1477 of the family's 1533-position model. The record is from RNAcentral. Lineage: Bacteria; Bacillati; Bacillota; Bacilli; Caryophanales.
AUGAUGGUCUAAGUCCCGCAGCGAGCGCAACCCUUGUCCUUAGUUGCCAGCAUUUGGUUGGGCACUCUAGGGAGACUGCCGGUGACAAACCGGAGGAAGGUGGGGAUGACGUCAAAUCAUCAUGCCCCUUAUGAGUUGGGCUACACACGUGCUACAAUGGACGGUACAAAGGGCAGCGAAGCCGCGAGGUGGAGCCAAUCCCAGAAAGCCGUUCUCAGUUCGGAUUGCAGGCUGCAACUCGCCUGCAUGAAGUCGGAAUCGCUAGUAAUCGCAGGUCAGCAUACUGCGGUGAAUACGUUCCCGGGUCUUGUACACACCGCCCGUCACACCACGAGAGUUUGCAACACCCGAAGUCGGUGAGGUAACCGUAAGGAGCCAGCCGCCGAAGGUGGCAGAUAUGG